RNAcentral lists this ribosomal RNA (792 nucleotides) under uncultured bacterium. Its description in RNAcentral is "bacterial SSU rRNA". It matches the Rfam family "Bacterial small subunit ribosomal RNA", at positions 1 to 796 of the family's 1533-position model. The record is from RNAcentral.
CCCUUAGAGUUUGAUCCUGGCUCAGAUUGAACGCUGGCGGCAUGCCUUACACAUGCAAGUCGAACGACGCUGGGGGCAACUCUAGCGAGUGGCGAACGGGUGAGUAAUGCAUCGGAACGUGCCCUCUCGUGGGGGAUAACCAGUCGAAAGAUUGGCUAAUACCGCAUGAGCUCGAGAGAGGAAAGCGGGGGACCGCAAGGCCUCGCGCGAGAGGAGCGGCCGAUGCCCGAUUAGCUAGUUGGUGGGGUAAAGGCCCACCAAGGCGACGAUCGGUAGCUGGUCUGAGAGGACGACCAGCCACACUGGGACUGAGACACGGCCCAGACUCCUACGGGAGGCAGCAGUGGGGAAUUUUGGACAAUGGGCGAAAGCCUGAUCCAGCCAUGCCGCGUGUGUGAAGAAGGCCUUCGGGUUGUAAAGCACUUUCGGCCGGAACGAAAUCGCGCGGGUGAACAAUCCGCGUGGAUGACGGUACCGGUAGAAGAAGCACCGGCUAACUACGUGCCAGCAGCCGCGGUAAUACGUAGGGUGCGAGCGUUAAUCGGAAUUACUGGGCGUAAAGCGUGCGCAGGCGGCGCCGCAAGUCAGGCGUGAAAUCCCCGGGCUUAACUUGGGAAUGGCGCUUGAAACUACGGUGCUGGAGUGUGGCAGAGGGAGGUGGAAUUCCACGUGUAGCGGUGAAAUGCGUAGAGAUGUGGAGGAACACCGAUGGCGAAAGCAGCCUCCUGGGCCAACACUGACGCUCAUGCACGAAAGCGUGGGGAGCAAACAGAUUAGAUACCCUGGUAGUCA